AUCGAACGCUGGCGGCAGGCCUAACACAUGCAAGUCGAGCGAGCGGCGGACGGGUGCGUAAUGUAUGGGGACUGCCCGAUAGAGGGGGAUAACAACUGGAAACGGUAGCUAAUACCGCAUACUAUCGGAUAACCCAUAUGGGAUUAGCUAGUAGGUGAGGUAAUGGCUCACCUAGGCGACGAUCCCUAGCUGGUCUGAGAGGAUGAUCAGCAAAACUGGGCGUGAGACACGGCCCGGAUUCCUCCGGAGGCAGAGGUGGGAAAUAUUGCACAAGGGGCGCAAGCCUGAUGCGGCCAUGCGGCGGGGAUAAAGAAGGCCUUCGGGUUGUAAGGUACGUUCAGACGGGAGGCGUUACCGACAGAAGAAGCACCGGCUAACUCCGUGCCAGCAGCCGCGGUAAUUC
Molecule: ribosomal RNA, 403 nt
Filed under: uncultured bacterium
Lineage: Bacteria
Description: partial 16S ribosomal RNA
Rfam family: Bacterial small subunit ribosomal RNA
Source: RNAcentral